CUCACAGAGAGUUGGGCAGCGCAGCAGAGGUGAGAGCCUGCAGCCAGAGUGGCCAGCUGGGAGCGCACAGCAUCCCAGGCACCUGGGACCAGCCGGGCCUGCCAUCUGACACCAGAAAGAGGAGCCCAUCAUGUCUGGGUGCAGGAAGAGCCGGGCCGGGCUCUGCUGCGCCUUGGAAGCGCGAGCGGCUAGACACUGCCGCUCAGAGGUGCUGCCAGGUCCUCUCGACUGAGUGUCUAAGCUGCAUUUCAGAAUUCAAGGUGUGUCAACAGCAUGAGCACGAGCGUGACUGCACCUGCCUACCAAGCACCCAGGUCAAGGGAGACCCCCACACAAGCCUGCAGAUGCUCAUGGGGAGACAUGUUUGGUGACCGCUGGGCGUGGUUUUCAUAGCUUAUGUGCUCUCUGUAUGUUCGAAGCAUUUCUUAGUGUUUUUUCCAAAGGAGAACAGUGAUUCCUGACAUUUUAUAUGAAACCCUCAUUUAAAUAUUACAAAGAUUAUAAAUUCUUAACUGAUCAUCUCCCUUUGGAAUAUACAAUUGAGAAAAUGCCUAGAGACUGAAAGUUACAUUGUACAAAUUUUUUUUACGUGAAUUUGAAUUAAUCAAAUUGUGUCUACUCACCCUGAAAGAGAGUGAAAGAAC
Molecule: long non-coding RNA, 644 nt
Filed under: Marmota monax (woodchuck)
Lineage: Eukaryota; Metazoa; Chordata; Mammalia; Rodentia; Sciuridae
Source: RNAcentral